UUUAAAAGGACUGGAGAUAGAUCUGCAGGUGACUGAGCUAUAGGGAAGAAGGGCGCUCAUGCAGCCUCACGGACAGGGCGAGGAGGUUCCACUUGACAGGGUGGCCUGUUUAGUGGAUCCACUAAUGGGUUAACAUUUAAUGCAUGUGUUCUUUGUGCCCGGAAUUGUGUUAAGACCCUAAAUGCACUAUCUCUUUUAAUUAUCACUUUAACUAUAUGAUACAAGCAUGGUAACACCCUGAACAGAGGGGGGAAGUCCCCAAGUUAAUAGGGAGAAGUAACAUGUAUUACCUAACUGUUCGUUGGAGGUAAAUUGAACAUAUAAACCCAGGUUUCCGACUCCAGAACCCGUGUGUUCAUAUUUCAAACUGAGCUAUCAUCUUUCCCAGAAAGCAACCUCUUCUCCAGACACCUCUAGUCCUUCCAAUGGAAUGAAAUUCUCAGUGAUUUGUUUUUUUUAAGGUAAAUAUAACAAAGUAGGCAUAUCUCCUUGAUGUAACCAAACUAAAGUGGCAUAUUGGCUCCGUUACCUGCUGCAGCAUAACAACCCGAAAAGAUACAGCUUCCGCAGCUGCUUUCUUAGCUGUUGGUGCUAAGGAUUGGCCAGGGCUCCGUGGGUGCCCCUGGUGCCUUACCUGAAGCUUCUUAUGCCCCCAGGCAGACAACUGAAGCUCCGUGUCCAGCUCUAAUGCUCCUCUCAGCAGCUGCAUGCGUUUCCCCCCCACCCACAGAAUUUAUUUUUUUAGAGCAGUUUUAUGUUUACAGAAAACUUGAGAAAAAUUCCACACCUAGCUUUCCCCAUUACUAAUAUCUUAUAUUAGUAUGGUACAUUUGUUACAAUUAAUGAACCAAUAAUGAUGUGUAAUUAUUGACUAAAGUCCAGAUUGUGUUUUCUAAUUUCUUUACUUUGUAGCUAAUGUCUUUUCUUGUUCCAGGAUCUCAACAAGGACACCAUGUUAUAUUUAGUUGUGUCUCCUUAGGCUCCUGAGUGUACUUGUUGUCUUGCUUUUAGUGUGUGUGUGUGUGUGUGUGUGUGUGCGUGUGUGUGCGCGCGCGCGCGCGCGGUGUCUUAUCCUCCAGGUCCUCUCCACACAGUACCCCCCCCCACACACACACACACACUCGUACAUACAAGCAGGAUUGCCUGAAUUUCAUACACAGUGGCUCAAGACUUUAGGAUAGAGGAAGUAGAAGUUACCACACUCUCAAGUCUGGGCUCAAAUGUCCCAGGGCAUCACUUCCUCGGCAUCCUCUUGGUCAAAGCAUCACAGAAUUCAGGUAGGGAGACAAGUUCCACCUCUGGAUGGGCAGAGCAGCACGUGUGUGCACAGAUCAUGGGCACAGUCGUCACAGAACCUCUUUAGAGGCAAGCUACCCUAUGUAUGCCAGGCGAAUGUCAUUGAUCGUUUAGUUGAUUUGUAAGCAGGUAAUGAUGAGAUCAUUAUGAGAAAGUGAGAACAGAAUGGCACAGUGAUACUGAAUUCAAAUUCUUAUUUCAGGCAUAUAUCUCAAAACCAAUUGUUGCAACAGGCUAUCACAUCUUAAUACAAAUAUGUAUUUUUCAUGGAAUUAAAUCAUUCCUAAAAAUGUUUAAUGUGCCUUGUGUCGAUGUGGUACUUUUAUUCUUUAGUAAAUAUAAAGAUCAUAUGUACAGCAUUAAUAAAAUUAGUCUUUACUUUUAGUAUAGAUUAGGAAUUGUGGUUCCCUACAGAAGCCUCAGUUGUCCCCAGGCCUAAGAAUUAAAUACUGAUACUUUGACAACACAGCCUAAAUUUUCUGCUUUGCGGACGCCAGAUUUAUUUUUAAAUGGUGUGAAUCAAAUCUGUGCUGAGAGGCCAACUUCAAAAUAUAAAAGAAAAAUUGGCAAUGGAAAGAUUUUGCUGGUUUGGCUGAAGUGAAGCGCUCUACAGCAUUUCAUUCUAGUGGAGCGUCUGACUGUGAAAAUCUUUCCAAUUGUAAUUCUCUUUGGCUUGCCAAAAGGGGAUUAUGAACAAAAGUCAAUGUUGCAGGAAAUGUCACCUGUCUUUUGAAGGAAAAUAAAAAAUCAAAAUGGCUUUGUUCAUCAUAUUUAAAAGAAAAAAAUGUGUUGAUCGAC
Molecule: long non-coding RNA, 2094 nt
Filed under: Lynx pardinus (Iberian lynx)
Lineage: Eukaryota; Metazoa; Chordata; Mammalia; Carnivora; Felidae
Source: RNAcentral